Molecule: long non-coding RNA, 642 nt
Organism: Acyrthosiphon pisum (pea aphid)
Lineage: Eukaryota; Metazoa; Arthropoda; Insecta; Hemiptera; Aphididae
Exons: 3
Source: RefSeq, a predicted model, not a curated record
GUUUUAUAAAAUAUCGUAACUUGUUACUUGAAGUCCUGUCACAAAGUUAAAAACAUCGAAUUUCGCCAUGAUUUUUCGCCACGUCAUUCGACAUUUUUACAGUUUUUCUUUGUCAGUUGAUGAACUCCAAUUUUAAGCAUCGGUCGGCAGUCAGAUACCAUUGUGCAUCUAAUGUCAUACUUUUAAAGUCUAUGAUAAAUUGAUAAAUGGUUUGGGAACAAUAAUUCCAAUAUGGUUUAUUUGGCCAGUAAAGAGAGACAAACUUCUGAAUUUGUCAGUGAAUGUACAUAUUCAAAUAAUACGAAGUCUGCAGGAUAUCCUUGACUAACAUCACGUCUGCUGUAUAUCGGGCAAAAUUAUUUACUACGGCCCACAGGCCAGUCCGCGAUCGCUGACCAGCAGACCGGGCCAGUCCGCCCCUGGUAAGAAUGAUCAUUUUAAUACCUACCCUCAAUUUUUUCAUACAUUAGCCGGGCAUUGUGAAUUAAUUAUUGCACACAUUUAUGUCGAAUGGUACUAUUAUAGUUAACAACAACACUACAAAACUAUUCUUACAUAUUUUAUUCGUUUGAUACCACGACUUACGAGUUACGAGAUACCUAUCUAAUUGUACACAAUAUACGCGAUGACGGCUGCCGAAAA